RNAcentral lists this transfer RNA (70 nucleotides) under Asthenactis papyraceus. Its description in RNAcentral is "tRNA-Cys". Lineage: Eukaryota; Metazoa; Echinodermata; Asteroidea; Spinulosida; Pythonasteridae. The record is from RNAcentral.
GGUUUUGUAAUGUAAAGUAACAUAUUAAAUUGCAAAUUUAUGAAUACGAAGUGAGUUUCGUCAAAACUUC